CGUUCUGUAAGCCUGUGAAGGUGUGCUGUGAGGCAUGCUGGAGGUAUCAGAAGUGCGAAUGCUGACAUAAGUAACGAUAAAGCGGGUGAAAAGCCCGCUCGCCGGAAGACCAAGGGUUCCUGUCCAACGUUAAUCGGGGCAGGGUGAGUCGACCCCUAAGGCGAGGCCGAAAGGCGUAGUCGAUGGGAAACAGGUUAAUAUUCCUGUACUUGGUGUUACUGCGAAGGGGGGACGGAGAAGGCUAUGUUGGCCGGGCGACGGUUGUCCCGGUUUAAGCGUGUAGGCUGGUUUUCCAGGCAAAUCCGGAAAAUCAAGGCUGAGGCGUGAUGACGAGGCACUACGGUGCUGAAGCAACAAAUGCCCUGCUUCCAGGAAAAGCCUCUAAGCAUCAGGUAACAUCAAAUCGUACCCCAAACCGACACAGGUGGUCAGGUAGAGAAUACCAAGGCGCUUGAGAGAACUCGGGUGAAGGAACUAGGCAAAAUGGUGCCGUAACUUCGGGAGAAGGCACGCUGAUAUGUAGGUGAAGUCCCUCGCGGAUGGAGCUGAAAUCAGUCGAAGAUACCAGCUGGCUGCAACUGUUUAUUAAAAACACAGCACUGUGCAAACACGAAAGUGGACGUAUACGGUGUGACGCCUGCCCGGUGCCGGAAGGUUAAUUGAUGGGGUCAGCGCAAGCGAAGCUCUUGAUCGAAGCCCCGGUAAACGGCGGCCGUAACUAUAACGGUCCUAAGGUAGCGAAAUUCCUUGUCGGGUAAGUUCCGACCUGCACGAAUGGCGUAAUGAUGGCCAGGCUGUCUCCACCCGAGACUCAGUGAAAUUGAACUCGCUGUGAAGAUGCAGUGUACCCGCGGCAAGACGGAAAGACCCCGUGAACCUUUACUAUAGCUUGACACUGAACAUUGAGCCUUGAUGUGUAGGAUAGGUGGGAGGCUUAGAAGUGUGGACGCCAGUCUGCAUGGAGCCGACCUUGAAAUACCACCCUUUAAUGUUUGAUGUUCUAACGUUGACCCGUAAUCCGGGUUGCGGACAGUGUCUGGUGGGUAGUUUGACUGGGGCGGUCUCCUCCUAAAGAGUAACGGAGGAGCACGAAGGUUGGCUAAUCCUGGUCGGACAUCAGGAGGUUAGUGCAAUGGCAUAAGCCAGCUUGACUGCGAGCGUGACGGCGCGAGCAGGUGCGAAAGCAGGUCAUAGUGAUCCGGUGGUUCUGAAUGGAAGGGCCAUCGCUCAACGGAUAAAAGGUACUCCGGGGAUAACAGGCUGAUACCGCCCAAGAGUUCAUAUCGACGGCGGUGUUUGGCACCUCGAUGUCGGCUCAUCACAUCCUGGGGCUGAAGUAGGUCCCAAGGGUAUGGCUGUUCGCCAUUUAAAGUGGUACGCGAGCUGGGUUUAGAACGUCGUGAGACAGUUCGGUCCCUAUCUGCCGUGGGCGCUGGAGAACUGAGGGGGGCUGCUCCUAGUACGAGAGGACCGGAGUGGACGCAUCACUGGUGUUCGGGUUGUCAUGCCAAUGGCACUGCCCGGUAGCUAAAUGCGGAAGAGAUAAGUGCUGAAAGCAUCUAAGCACGAAACUUGCCCCGAG
This 1582-nucleotide ribosomal RNA is filed under the name Escherichia coli. RNAcentral's name for it is "partial 23S ribosomal RNA". It matches the Rfam family "Bacterial large subunit ribosomal RNA", at positions 1237 to 2803 of the family's 2925-position model. Lineage: Bacteria; Pseudomonadati; Pseudomonadota; Gammaproteobacteria; Enterobacterales; Enterobacteriaceae. The record is from RNAcentral.